UAGAGAGGGACCGUAACAUAC
RNAcentral lists this non-coding RNA (21 nucleotides) under Arabidopsis thaliana (thale cress). The record is from RNAcentral. Lineage: Eukaryota; Viridiplantae; Streptophyta; Magnoliopsida; Brassicales; Brassicaceae.